GAUCCUGGCUCAGGAUGAACGCUAGUUACAGGCUUAACACAUGCAAGUCGAGGGGCAGCAUGGUCUUAGCUUGCUAAGGCCGAUGGCGACCGGCGCACGGGUGAGUAACACGUAUCCAACCUGCCGUCUACUCUUGGACAGCCUUCUGAAAGGAAGAUUAAUACAAGAUGGCAUCAUGAGUUCACAUGUUCACAUGAUUAAAGGUAUUCCGGUAGACGAUGGGGAUGG
This 228-nucleotide ribosomal RNA is filed under the name uncultured bacterium. RNAcentral describes it as "partial 16S ribosomal RNA". It matches the Rfam family "Bacterial small subunit ribosomal RNA", at positions 15 to 234 of the family's 1533-position model. The record is from RNAcentral.